This 255-nucleotide ribosomal RNA is filed under the name uncultured bacterium. RNAcentral describes it as "partial 16S ribosomal RNA". It matches the Rfam family "Bacterial small subunit ribosomal RNA", at positions 524 to 776 of the family's 1533-position model. The record is from RNAcentral.
UACGAAGGGGGCGAGCGUUGUUCGGAAUUACUGGGCGUAAAGGGCGCGUAGGCGGCCGAUCAAGUCAGAUGUGAAAGUCCUGGGCUUAACCUGGGGACUGCAUUUGAUACUGAUUGGCUUGAAUGCAGGAGAGGAUAGCGGAAUUCCCAGUGUAGAGGUGAAAUUCGUAGAUAUUGGGAAGAACACCGGUGGCGAAGGCGGCUAUCUGGACUGUGAUUGACGCUGAGGCGCGAAAGUGUGGGGGAUCAAAACAGG